Molecule: ribosomal RNA, 378 nt
Filed under: uncultured bacterium
Lineage: Bacteria
Description: bacterial SSU rRNA
Rfam family: Bacterial small subunit ribosomal RNA
Source: RNAcentral
UAAUACGUAGGGGGCAAGCGUUGUCCGGAUUUAUUGGGCGUAAAGAGCGUGUAGGCGGCCAGACAGGUCCGUUGUGAAAACUAGAGGCUUAACCUCUAGACGUCGAUGGAAACCGUCUGGCUAGAGUCCGGAAGAGGAGAAUGGAAUUCCUGGUGUAGCGGUGAAAUGCGCAGAUAUCAGGAAGAACACCCGUGGCUAAGGCGGUUCUCUAGUACGGUACUGACGCUGAGACGCGAAAGCGUGGGGAGCGAACAGGAUUAGAUACCCUGGUAGUCCACGCCGUAAACGGUGGGUACUAGGUGUGGGUUUCCUUCCUUGGGAUCCGUGCCGUAGCUAACGCAUUAAGUACCCCGCCUGGGGAGUACGGCCGCAAGGCUA